GACGAACGCUGGCGGCGUGCUUAACACAUGCAAGUCGAACGGAAAGGCCCUGCUUUUGUGGGGUGCUCGAGUGGCGAACGGGUGAGUAACACGUGAGUAACCUGCCCUUGACUUUGGGAUAACUUCAGGAAACUGGGGCUAAUACCGGAUAGGAGCUCCUGCUGCAUGGUGGGGGUUGGAAAGUUUCGGCGGUUGGGGAUGGACUCGCGGCUUAUCAGCUUGUUGGUGGGGUAGUGGCUUACCAAGGCUUUGACGGGUAGCCGGCCUGAGAGGGUGACCGGCAACAUUGGGACUGAGAGACGGCGCAGACUCCUACGGGAGGCAGCAGUGGGGAAUAUUGCACAAUGGGCGGAAGCCUGAUGCAGCAACGCCGCGUGCGGGAUGACGGCCUUCGGGUUGUAAACCGCUUUCGCCGGUGACGAAGCGUGAGUGACGGUAAUGGGUAAAGAAGCACCGGCUAACUACGUG
Molecule: ribosomal RNA, 468 nt
Filed under: uncultured bacterium
Lineage: Bacteria
Description: partial 16S ribosomal RNA
Rfam family: Bacterial small subunit ribosomal RNA
Source: RNAcentral